UACGUAGGGGGCAAGCGUUGUCCGGAAUCAUUGGGCGUAAAGCGCGCGUAGGCGGCCCGGUAAGUCCGCUGUAAAAGUCCAGGGCUCAACCCUGGAAAGCCGGUGGAUACUGUCGGGCUAGAGUCCGGAAGAGGCGAGUGGAAUUCCUGGUGUAGCGGUGGAAUGCGUAGAUAUCAGGAGGAACACCGAUGGCGAAGGCAGCUCGCUGGGACGGUACUGACGCUGAGGCGCGAAAGCUAGGGGAGCAAACAGG
This 253-nucleotide ribosomal RNA is filed under the name uncultured bacterium. RNAcentral describes it as "partial 16S ribosomal RNA". It matches the Rfam family "Bacterial small subunit ribosomal RNA", at positions 524 to 776 of the family's 1533-position model. The record is from RNAcentral.